UAGGGAAUCUUCCGCAAUGGGCGAAAGCCUGACGGAGCAAUGCCGCGUGAGUGAAGAAGGCCUUCGGGUCGUAAAACUCUGUUAUAAGAGAAGAACAAAUUGUAGAGUAACUGCUACAGUCUUGACGGUAUCUUAUCAGAAAGCCACGGCUAACUACGUGCCAGCAGCCGCGGUAAUACGUAGGUGGCAAGCGUUGUCCGGAUUUAUUGGGCGUAAAGGGGGCGCAGGUGGUUUCUUAAGUCUGAUGUGAAAGCCCACGGCUUAACCGUGGAGGGUCAUUGGAAACUGGGAAACUUGAGUACAGAAGAGGAAUGUGGAACUCCAUGUGUAGCGGUGGAAUGCGUAGAUAUAUGGAAGAACACCAGUGGCGAAGGCGACAUUCUGGUCUGUUACUGACACUGAGGCUCGAAAGCGUGGGGAGCAAACAGG
Molecule: ribosomal RNA, 429 nt
Filed under: Acidobacteriota bacterium
Lineage: Bacteria; Pseudomonadati; Acidobacteriota
Description: Acidobacteria bacterium partial 16S ribosomal RNA
Rfam family: Bacterial small subunit ribosomal RNA
Source: RNAcentral